This 394-nucleotide ribosomal RNA is filed under the name uncultured bacterium. Its description in RNAcentral is "partial 16S ribosomal RNA". It matches the Rfam family "Bacterial small subunit ribosomal RNA", at positions 523 to 918 of the family's 1533-position model. The record is from RNAcentral.
AUACGUAGGGGACGAGCGUUGUCCGGAAUUACUGGGCGUAAAGGGCGCGCAGGCGGAUAUUUAAGUCAGCUGUAAAAGGCAUGAGCUCAACUCAUGUAUGCGGUUGAAACUGGGUAUCUAGAGUGCUGGAGAGGUAGGCGGAAUUCCCGGUGUAGCGGUGAAAUGCGUAGAUAUCGGGAAGAACACCAGUGGCGAAGGCGGCUUACUGGCCAGCAACUGACGCUGAGGCGCGAAAGCCAGGGGAGCGAACGGGAUUAGAUACCCAGGUAGUCCUGGCCGUAAACGAUGAAUGCUAGGUGUGGGUGUCGAGAGGCAUCCGUGCCGGAGUUAACGCGAUAAGCAUUCCGCCUGGGGAGUACGAUCGCAAGAUUGAAACUCAAAUGAAUUGACGGGG